RNAcentral lists this unclassified non-coding RNA (221 nucleotides) under fungal sp. Its description in RNAcentral is "partial internal transcribed spacer region". The stretch from base 1 to 46 matches the Rfam family "Eukaryotic small subunit ribosomal RNA", at positions 1786 to 1831 of the family's 1831-position model. RNAcentral also lists the same sequence under 1 other name. Lineage: Eukaryota; Fungi. The record is from RNAcentral.
AAGUCGUAACAAGGUUUCCGUAGGUGAACCUGCGGAAGGAUCAUUAACACUCUAUGAUUUCUUUGAUUUAUCCUUUUUGGGGUGGUUUGUUGCGAAUGAUGAUGAUGAUGAGGGAGUCCCUCAUCCUCUUUCCACUUUACUAAACCCUUUCAACAUUCAGACAUUCAAACCAAAAUAUUCGAAACGCUGAACAACUCUUAGCAACGGAUAUCUUGGCUCUC